AGUGAACGCUGGCGGUAGGCCUAACACAUGCAAGUCGAACGGCAGCACAGUAAGAGCUUGCUCUUACGGGUGGCGAGUGGCGGACGAGUGAGGAAUACAUCGGAAUCUACUUUUUCGUGGGGGAUAACGUAGGGAAACUUACGCUAAUACCGCAUACGACCUACGGGUGAAAGCAGGGGAUCUUCGGACCUUGCGCGAUUGAAUGAGCCGAUGUCGGAUUAGCUAGUUGGCGGGGUAAAGGCCCACCAAGGCGACGAUCCGUAGCUGGUCUGAGAGGAUGAUCAGCCACACUGGAACUGAGACACGGUCCAGACUCCUACGGGAGGCAGCAGUGGGGAACAUUGGACAAUGGGCGCAAGCCUGAUCCAGCCAUACCGCGUGGGUGAAGAAGGCCUUCGGGUUGUAAAGCCCUUUUGUUGGGAAAGAAAAGCAGCAGGUUAAUACCCCGCUGUUCUGACGGUACCCAAAGAAUAAGCACCGGCUAACUUCGUG
This 492-nucleotide ribosomal RNA is filed under the name uncultured bacterium. RNAcentral's name for it is "partial 16S ribosomal RNA". It matches the Rfam family "Bacterial small subunit ribosomal RNA", at positions 29 to 507 of the family's 1533-position model. The record is from RNAcentral.